CAGCCCUUUGAGCUUCCUCCAUUGAGA
Molecule: unclassified non-coding RNA, 27 nt
Filed under: Mus musculus (house mouse)
Lineage: Eukaryota; Metazoa; Chordata; Mammalia; Rodentia; Muridae
Description: oocyte_clustered_small_RNA762
Source: RNAcentral